UGUCCUUAUUGAAAUAGACAGUACAUGGAUCUGGAACGGAAGCAAAUAAUAUCCGGGUCUCCAGAUUCCAUUGUAUCACAGAACAUGGAACCAAGAAAGUACCUUAGAAGUCAUCUGAUCCAGUCACCCCCUGUUUUACCGAGGAAUCUAGACCCAGAUGAAGUUAAAGGACUUACCCAAGAGUACCCGACAACUCUCUGGCCACCCCCAGGCUCCCAUCUUUGUGUCUCUCCUGUGUGGGCUGUUCCCUGACGUUCUUCCUGAUAGGCACAUCGCCUUUCCCUUUGAUUUUAAAUCCUUGGCUCAAAUGACAUGCCCGGACUAUAUCGUGUGAUGUGACCUUGAAAAAUAAUUUACGUACAAGUCUUGAAAGCAAAUCAAGUUUUAAAACAAAGUAGCAUCUACUCUGCCCCAGCCUUGACAUCUAUUACAAAGCAAAUGCUGGCUCUUUAAUUUCCCUAAUCAAGACUGGUCCUAUUUAGCCCAUCUACUCAAGGAGUCCCAGCACUAGCCCCACUCCGACGCCUGAUGAAGUUCCAGAACAGUGGAAUCGAGCACAGAGAUGGGCACGCCUCUUUACAGAACCAAAGAUUCAGAACCAUGCCUUACCCUUUGCUUAUGAGGCGGAGGAGGAGGAAGAGAAAGAACCACCACAAAGAGAGACGGCAACAAAGGUAAAAUGAAGGCUGGGCCAGCCGAUCCCACUCAGGCUGACCACAGUGAGGGAGAAGCAUUAAAAUGAGAAAUGAUCAGGUUUCAGAAGCCCAGCCCUUCCUGCUGAGUCUCAUCCUUUGCUUCAUCCAUUCCAUUAAAUAAGUCAUAUUGAAAACCAAUUAUUAUUAAUACAACAGUA
This is a long non-coding RNA of Nomascus leucogenys (northern white-cheeked gibbon), 853 nucleotides long. RefSeq lists it as uncharacterized. The transcript is spliced from 2 exons. Lineage: Eukaryota; Metazoa; Chordata; Mammalia; Primates; Hylobatidae. The record is from RefSeq and is a predicted model, not a curated record.